AGCCAGUGAUCAAACCACCAACCUUCCAAAUGGUAGAUGACCUGCUCUACCUCCUGAGCUGCAGCCACCCAGUUGUGCUGUCACACAAUGCGCCUCGCUUGCAAACUGGUGUCCCGCAGUCCCUCCAUGUUGCUGGUUUCCUGGGAGAGGAAUCAACCAGAUGUCAUCUAUAGUCACAAUGUGACUUUGUACCAUGUUGAACUAGGCUCCUAUAACACGCAUACUUUGGAUGUUACCACUCACAACCACUACCGCUUCUCUGCUCUGGACCCCUGCACCCUCUACAUGGCCUGUGUGGAGAUUGCAGACACUCUCUCCUUAGCAUGCCUCUCUACUAUUACUGGUAUGGACUAAUGAGUGAUGUUUAGUUAAUUAAAGUACAUUUGCAAAGGUUAAAGGCCUUAAAUUCACAUAACAACCUCUAGAUGGCGCCAACUAUGGGUUGUUUUUUUUUUUUUUGUUUGUUUUUUUUUUUUUUAACCUCAAAGCUUUUUGGGGGUUUUUUGUUUUGUUUUAAGUGACACUGCUAUCAGUUGUUUUCAACACAUGCUAAAACUGCUGCUGUAGCUCUUGUUCUGUUUC
This is a long non-coding RNA of Astatotilapia calliptera (eastern happy), 582 nucleotides long. The record is from Ensembl. NCBI's taxonomy places the organism in Eukaryota, Metazoa, Chordata, Actinopteri, Cichliformes, Cichlidae.